RNAcentral lists this ribosomal RNA (278 nucleotides) under uncultured bacterium. RNAcentral describes it as "partial 16S ribosomal RNA". It matches the Rfam family "Bacterial small subunit ribosomal RNA", at positions 506 to 784 of the family's 1533-position model. The record is from RNAcentral.
UGCCAGCAGCCGCGGUAAUACGGAGGGUGCAAGCGUUGUUCGGAUUUACUGGGCGUAAAGGGCGCGUAGGCGGUCCAUCAAGUUAAGGGUGAAAUCCCUAGGCUCAACCUAGGUGUUGCUCUUAAAACUGUUGGACUAGAGAAUGUUAGAGGCAGAUGGAAUUCCUGGUGUAGAGGUGAAAUUCGUAGAUAUCAGGAGGAACACCGAUGGCGAAGGCAUCUCUCUGGGCCGAUAUUGACGCUGAGGCGCGAAGGCGUGGUAGCGAACGGGAUUAGAUA